Molecule: ribosomal RNA, 400 nt
Filed under: uncultured bacterium
Lineage: Bacteria
Description: bacterial SSU rRNA
Rfam family: Bacterial small subunit ribosomal RNA
Source: RNAcentral
UAGGGAAUAUUGCGCAAUGGAGGAAACUCUGACGCAGCGACGCCGCGUGGGUGAUGAAGGCCUUCGGGUCGUAAAGCCCUGUCGGAAGGGAAGAAACACAAUUUGGCUAACAUCCAAGUUGCUUGACGGUACCUUUAAAGGAAGCACCGGCUAACUACGUGCCAGCAGCCGCGGUAAUACGUAGGGUGCUAGCGUUGUUCGGAAUCAUUGGGCGUAAAGCGCGUGUAGGUGGUCAGUAAAGUCGGGUGUGAAAUCCCUCGGCUCAACCGAGGAAGUGCAUUCGAAACUCACUGGCUUGAGAGUGGUAGAGGAAGGUGGAAUUCCUAGUGUAGAGGUGAAAUUCGUAGAUAUUAGGAGGAAUACCGGAGGCGAAGGCGGCCUUCUGGACCAUUUCUGACAC